Taeniopygia guttata (zebra finch) is the source of this 836-nucleotide non-coding RNA. The record is from RefSeq and is a predicted model, not a curated record. NCBI's taxonomy places the organism in Eukaryota, Metazoa, Chordata, Aves, Passeriformes, Estrildidae.
UCCAGAGCCAGCUAUUUAUUAUCUCAUUUCAGUUUCCUGUCGACUCAGUAGGUGGUACAGCUUUUGAUUCAUAUUUGGAUUGCUGCCUUUCCAUUUUUUCGGGGAGUUUUUUUCUGUAUUUUUUCUUCCUUUUUUCUUUUCCUUUUUUCCCCCACCCCCUUUUGAAAGCAGCUAAAGUUACUGGCACCAGCAAACUCUGCCUGUAACUAAGAUUGCUUGUGAAUGAACUUGUAUCUGCUGUUGUGACAUCAGAACAUCACUUGCAGCAGCAGCAGCAGCAGCAGCAGAGCAAAGGGCCUUGUGAGGUGGUGGUUGCCAGGCUUCAAAUAAGAUAUCAGACUUCAGACUUUGCCACAGAGGAGUGUUUAAAGGCCCUGUGCUACAGGAAGCCUAAUUUCCAUCUCUGUCCCGAAAAUCUGAAAGGAUUGCUGUUGUUCCUACAUAGUAGUGCUCUAAUAGAAAUGAUGAUCAACCUUCCAGAAUUCAUUUUAAAACUGAGGAAGUUAUGGGCACAGAAAUUUGCUAAUGCCAUGCCAGGGAUUCCCUUUGUCAUUGCAACCCACCAUUGUGAGCCAGGCUCCAAAGAUGCCAGCAUAUGGCCAUGAAACACCAUCACUGAAUUACUGUCUCUUUUCAUGUGGUCCAGUCCUGGUGCAGAGAAGAAAGUAAGAGUCAAGUCUGAAUUAAACACUCCCAGCUUUCAUGUUUGUGGUUUUGAUUUAUUUAUUGAUAUCUAUGUAGGGGCCUCCAUUCAAUCACAGGAGUUAAUGUCAUCCUGCUACAUAGCUGGAGAUGAAAAACUCAGCUAUCUGCCAGGUACAACCUCCUUUCACACU